RNAcentral lists this ribosomal RNA (389 nucleotides) under uncultured bacterium. RNAcentral's name for it is "bacterial SSU rRNA". It matches the Rfam family "Bacterial small subunit ribosomal RNA", at positions 28 to 418 of the family's 1533-position model. The record is from RNAcentral.
GACGAACGCUGGCGGCGUGCUUAACACAUGCAAGUCGAGCGGUAAGGCCCUUUCGGGGGUACGACGAGCGGCGAACGGGUGAGUAACACGUGGGUGACCUGCCCUCAGCUCUGGGAUAAGCCUGGGAAACUGGGUCUAAUACUGGAUAUGACUCCACGGUGCAUGUCGUGGGGUGGAAAGCCUUGUGCGGCUGAGGAUGGGCCCGCGGCCUAUCAGCUUGUUGGUGGGGUGAGGCCUACCAAGGCGACGACGGGUAGCCGGCCUGAGAGGGCGACCGGCCACACUGGGACUGAGACACGGCCCAGACUCCUACGGGAGGCAGCAGUGGGGAAUCUUGCGCAAUGGGCGAAAGCCUGACGCAGCGACGCCGCGUGAGGGAUGACGGCCUU